ACAUGUAUCUCCAAGAAAGGGGUUGGAAAUUAAGAGAAAAAAACCUCCAUUGUAAUAUCUCAACAACUACUCCGAUAAGAAAUUCCACCCUUGACACCGCCAUGUGCAGGAGAGCGUGAUUACCUUUGUUAAUUGCUUCCACUAAGUCAUGAUCUAGCAAGAACCAGUAUCGAUUGAUUCUGUCCAGCUGUUGUUGCUUCUUGAAAUCUUGCUCUGAUCUGUUCCCUAGCUGUGUUUCUUUGAUACCCAGGUGAGAUCUUCCUUUCUCUUGCUUGUCUGAUUCCUUACUCCAAGCCGUGCUUCCAUUUCCUUGCUUCUUGCCGUCGUCGAUGGUGGAUUUGGUAUUAUCUAGCGGUCCGUUACUGUUUCCAGUUUUUGUUACCGUUGGAGCCAUUACUGUUAACUUAGCUUGCUGGUGAAUCUUGAUUUCUUAAAAAACAAGCUAAAUGAAAUUGAGAUGGCAUUAAAUCUGAAAGAGCAGGAAAGCACGAAAGGAAAAUGAUUUAAAGACCUCAGUUUUAAAAAAGAAUCCGAUGAUAUAAAUCACAGACUAGCAAAUUUAACAGAGCAAGAGCAUAUGAGUUUAUAUACCUCCUGAUUUUGCAGCCAUUUUGUUUGUCAAAUAUGUUGUAUUUUUGAUUACGGGAUGCUGAGAAUCUUACAAGUGAGCCGGAGAGGAGGGAUAAGGGGUUACUGGCUUUGGCGGAGAAGCUAACACUUGAGCUCUUUUGAAUGGUUUAAAGUCAAUUUACAACCCUCCAGAGUUAUCAAGCGUGCAGUGGCAGCUGAUUACAGUGGAGACGUGUCUCAGAAAUUGAACCAAGUAAAAGGCAGGAAAGUGUAACUUCAUCUGCUCAAACUCCAGGUUAACAAUCUCAGGCGAAACAAGAUAAUUUCUGUGAAUGAUGAGAUAGGCAGAUAUCAUUGCUCUUGGUGUUUCACCUAAUGGCAUAAACUUAUUAAGAGUUUAUGACUUGUAAAUAGCUUGUGGAUUAGUAUGUAUGUUGAUAUUGUACUUUUUUAA
This is a long non-coding RNA of Daucus carota subsp. sativus, 1024 nucleotides long. RefSeq lists it as uncharacterized. Lineage: Eukaryota; Viridiplantae; Streptophyta; Magnoliopsida; Apiales; Apiaceae. The transcript has 2 exons. The record is from RefSeq and is a predicted model, not a curated record.